AGGAUCUGUCCCUAGUACGAGAGGACCGGGAUGGACGUAUCUCUGGUGGACCUGUUGUGGCGCCAGCCGCAUAGCAGGGUAGCUAUAUACGGAACGGAUAACCGCUGAAGGCAUCUAAGCGGGAAACCGACCUGGAAACGAGUAUUCCCUGAGAGUCGUGGUAGACGACCACGUUGAUAGGCCGGGUGUGGAAGUGCGGCAACGCAUGAAGCUUACCGGUACUAAUAACUCGAUUGGCUUGAUCGU
This 246-nucleotide ribosomal RNA is filed under the name Rhizobiaceae bacterium. RNAcentral's name for it is "partial 23S ribosomal RNA". It matches the Rfam family "Bacterial large subunit ribosomal RNA", at positions 2667 to 2925 of the family's 2925-position model. The record is from RNAcentral. Lineage: Bacteria; Pseudomonadati; Pseudomonadota; Alphaproteobacteria; Hyphomicrobiales; Rhizobiaceae.